UCCUCCCUCUGGCUGCGUGCUUAACACAUGCAAGUCGAACGGAAAGGCCCUGCUUGCAGGGUACUCGAGUGGCGAACGGGUGAGUAACACGUGGGUGAUCUGCCCUGCACUUCGGGAUAAGCCUGGGAAACUGGGUCUAAUACCGGAUAUGACCUUCCAUGUAGUGUGGGGGGUGGAAAGAUUUAUCGGUGUGGGAUGAGCCCGCGGCCUAUCAGCUUGUUGGUGGGGUAAUGGCCUACCAAGGCGUCGACGGGUAGCCGGCCUGAGAGGGUGGACGGCCACAUUGGGACUGAGAUACGGCCCAGACUCCUACGGGAGGCAGCAGUGGGGAAUAUUGCACAAUGGGCGGAAGCCUUAUGCAGCGACGCCGCGUGGGGGAUGACGGCCUUCGGGUUGUAAACCUCUUUCGACAGGGACGAAGCUUCGGUGACGGUACCUGUAUAAGAAGCACCGGCUAACUACGUG
RNAcentral lists this ribosomal RNA (465 nucleotides) under uncultured bacterium. Its description in RNAcentral is "partial 16S ribosomal RNA". It matches the Rfam family "Bacterial small subunit ribosomal RNA", at positions 36 to 507 of the family's 1533-position model. The record is from RNAcentral.